Molecule: ribosomal RNA, 260 nt
Filed under: uncultured bacterium
Lineage: Bacteria
Description: partial 16S ribosomal RNA
Rfam family: Bacterial small subunit ribosomal RNA
Source: RNAcentral
UACGGAGUGAGCGAGCAUUAUCCAUCCUAACUGGGUAUAAAGGGUGUGCAGGUUGAUAGUAUAUAAAAGACUAGUUAGAAAUUGCUAUUUUUUGGUAGGAGAUUCUAGUACCAACUAUCUUUGAGAAGCAAAGAGAUUGUUAGAAUAUAUAGUGUUCAAUUGUUCAGGAAACUGUCGAUCUUAUAGGGACUACCAAAGGCGAAGGCAUUCAAUCUAUUGCAUUCUGACGCUGAGUCACGAAAUCGUGGGUAGCAAAAGGG